RNAcentral lists this ribosomal RNA (495 nucleotides) under uncultured bacterium. RNAcentral's name for it is "bacterial SSU rRNA". It matches the Rfam family "Bacterial small subunit ribosomal RNA", at positions 28 to 509 of the family's 1533-position model. The record is from RNAcentral.
GACGAACGCUGGCGGCGUGCCUAACACAUGCAAGUCAAGGGAAAGUUUCGGGUAACUGAGACGGACACUGGCGCACGGGUGAGUAAUAUGUAAGUAAUCUGCCUUCUGCAUAGGAAUAACCUCGGGAAAUCGGGGCUAAUACCCAAUAACAUCAUUUAGUCAAAAGAUUAGAUGGUCAAAGCUGCAACUGCAGCGGCAGGAGAUGAGCUUGCAUCUGAUUAGCUAGUUGGCGGGGUAACGGCCCACCAAGGCAACGAUCAGUAGCUGGUCUGAGAGGAUGAUCAGCCACACUGGAACUGAGACACGGUCCAGACUCCUACGGGAGGCAGCAGUGAGGAAUAUUGGGCAAUGGGCGGAAGCCUGACCCAGCAACGCCGCGUGGAGGAAGAAUGCCGUAAGGUUGUAAACUCCUGUAGGGGGGGACGAAAGGCUCGGAGAGUGGAAAGCUCCGGGUUUGACUGUACCCCCAAAGUAAGCCCCGGCUAACUACGUGCC